UAGGCAGUAGAUCAGUGGUAGAGCUCCCGCCUCAUAUGCGGGGAGGUCUGGGUUCGAUUCCCAGCUGCUUUC
Molecule: transfer RNA, 72 nt
Organism: Toxocara canis (dog roundworm)
Lineage: Eukaryota; Metazoa; Nematoda; Chromadorea; Rhabditida; Toxocaridae
Rfam family: tRNA
About the family: Transfer RNA (tRNA) molecules are approximately 80 nucleotides in length. Their secondary structure includes four short double-helical elements and three loops (D, anti-codon, and T loops). Further hydrogen bonds mediate the characteristic L-shaped molecular structure. tRNAs have two regions of fundamental functional importance: the anti-codon, which is responsible for specific mRNA codon recognition, and the 3' end, to which the tRNAs corresponding amino acid is attached (by aminoacyl-tRNA synthetases). tRNAs cope with the degeneracy of the genetic code in two manners: having more than one tRNA (with a specific anti-codon) for a particular amino acid; and 'wobble' base-pairing, i.e. permitting non-standard base-pairing at the 3rd anti-codon position.
Source: Rfam